RNAcentral lists this ribosomal RNA (451 nucleotides) under uncultured bacterium. RNAcentral describes it as "partial 16S ribosomal RNA". It matches the Rfam family "Bacterial small subunit ribosomal RNA", at positions 28 to 507 of the family's 1533-position model. The record is from RNAcentral.
GAUGAACGCUGGCGGCGUGCCUAACACAUGCAAGUCGAGCGGCAGCGAGGGGUGCUUGCACCCUGUCGGCGAGCGGCGGACGGCUGAGUAACGCGUGGGAACGUGCCCCAAAGUGAGGAAUAACUGCCCGAAAGGGUAGCUAAUACCGCAUAUUAUCUUCGGAUCAAAGGAUUUAUCCGCUUUGGGAGCGGCUCGCGUCGGAUUAGGUAGUUGGUGAGGUAAUGGCUCACCAAGCCGACGAUCCGUAGCUGGUCUGAGAGGAUGACCAGCCAGACUGGAACUGAGACGCGGUCCAGACUCCUACGGGAGGCAGCAGUGAGGAAUCUUCCACAAUGGGCGAAAGCCUGAUGGAGCAACGCCGCGUGCAGGACGAAGGCCUUCGGGUUGUAAACUGCUUUUAUAAGUGAGGAAUAUGACGGUAACUUAUGAAUAAGGAUCGGCUAACUACGUG